ACAGAGGUGGCAAGCGUUGUUCGGAAUUACUGGGCGUAAAGGGCGCGUAGGCGGUCUUGUAAGUCUCGUGUGAAAUCCCUCGGCUUAACUGAGGAACUGCACGGGAUACUGCAUGACUUGAGAUCGGGAGAGGGAAGCGGAAUUCCGGGUGUAGCGGUGAAAUGCGUAGAUAUCCGGAGGAACACCGGUGGCGAAGGCGGCUUCCUGGACCGGCAUUGACGCUGAGGCGCGAAAGCCAGGGGAGCAAACGGGA
RNAcentral lists this ribosomal RNA (253 nucleotides) under uncultured prokaryote. RNAcentral describes it as "partial 16S ribosomal RNA". It matches the Rfam family "Bacterial small subunit ribosomal RNA", at positions 525 to 777 of the family's 1533-position model. The record is from RNAcentral.